AUACGUAGGUGACAAGCGUUAUCCGGAUUUACUGGGCGUAAAGGGCGUGUAGGCGGUCUUGCAAGUCAGAAGUGAAAUUCCUGAGCUCAACUUGGGCGCUGCUUCUGAAACUGCAGGACUUGAGUGCUGGAGGGGAUAGCGGAAUUCCUAGUGGAGCGGUAAAAUGCGCAGAUAUUAGGAAGAACACCGGUGGCGAAGGCGGCUAUCUGGACAGUAACUGACGCUGAGGCGCGAAAGCGUGGGGAGCAAACAGGAUUAGAUACCCUGGUAGUCCACACUGUAAACGAUGAAUGCUAGGUGUAAGAGGUAUCGACCCCUUUUGUGCCGGAGUCAACACAAUAAGCAUUCCGCCUGGGGAGUACGGCCGCAAGGUUGAAACUCAAAUGAAUUGACGGGG
RNAcentral lists this ribosomal RNA (397 nucleotides) under uncultured bacterium. RNAcentral describes it as "partial 16S ribosomal RNA". It matches the Rfam family "Bacterial small subunit ribosomal RNA", at positions 523 to 918 of the family's 1533-position model. The record is from RNAcentral.